Molecule: ribosomal RNA, 854 nt
Filed under: uncultured archaeon
Lineage: Archaea
Description: bacterial SSU rRNA
Rfam family: Archaeal small subunit ribosomal RNA
Source: RNAcentral
CGGUAACACCGGCAGCCCGAGUGGUGAUCACUAUUAUUGGGUCUAAAGGGUCCGUAGCCGGUUUAAUCAGUCUUCUGGGAAAUCUAAUCGCUUAACUAUUAGGCUUCCAGGGGAUACUGUUAGACUUGGGACCGGGAGAGGUAAGAGGUACUGCAGGGGUAGGAGUGAAAUCUUGUAAUCCCUGUGAGACCACCAGUGGCGAAGGCGUCUUACCAGAACGGGUCCGACGGUGAGGGACGAAAGCUGGGGGCACGAACCGGAUUAGAUACCCGGGUAGUCCCAGCUGUAAACGAUGCUCGUUAGGUGUCAGGAACGGUGCGACUGUUUCUGGUGCCGAAGGGAAGCCGUGAAACGAGCCACCUGGGAAGUACGGCCGCAAGGCUGAAACUUAAAGGAAUUGGCGGGGGAGCACUACAACGGGUGGAGCCUGCGGUUUAAUUGGACUCAACGCCGGAAAACUCACCGGGGGCGACAGCAAUAUGUAGGUCAGGUUAAAGGUCUUACCUGAAUCGCUGAGAGGAGGUGCAUGGCCGUCGUCAGUUCGUACUGUGAAGCAUCCUGUUAAGUCAGGCAACGAGCAAGACCCGUGCCCACUGUUACCAGCAUAUCCUUUAUGGAUGAUGGGGACUCUGUGGGGACCGCUGCUGCUAAAGCAGAGGAAGGUGCGGGCUACGGUAGGUCAGUAUGCCCCGAAUCUCCCGGGCUACACGCGGGCUACAAUGGUUGGGACAAUGGGUAUCUACUCCGAAAGGAGUUGGCAAUCUCUUAAACCCAAUCGUAGUUCGAAUUGAGGGCUGUAACUCGCCCUCAUGAAGCUGGAAUCCGUAGUAAUCGCGUUUCAACAUAGCGCGGUG